GCACCAAAGCCCUGUUUCAGGCUUUUCAAUAUAAAAGAAACAUGCGGAUGUAGCGCAGUUGGUAGCGCAUCACCU
Molecule: transfer RNA, 75 nt
Filed under: Corynebacterium pseudotuberculosis
Lineage: Bacteria; Bacillati; Actinomycetota; Actinomycetes; Mycobacteriales; Corynebacteriaceae
Description: tRNA-Val
Source: RNAcentral